This 366-nucleotide long non-coding RNA is filed under the name Phoenix dactylifera (date palm). RNAcentral describes it as "long non-coding RNA (PDAC_LNC010724)". The record is from RNAcentral. Lineage: Eukaryota; Viridiplantae; Streptophyta; Magnoliopsida; Arecales; Arecaceae.
ACCAACAUGAGCAAGUCAUAUUAGAUUAAUUGAUCUAAUUGGUGUCUAGGAAAGCAUGAAAGGUAGUUACUUAAUUAGGACCUUACUCUCUGAGUAAGGGAAGCCUCCCACCUGCUUACCUGGCCAAUUGUUCAAUUACCUCUUAUGAAGAGCUCAAAGUUGCAAACACUAAGACCUGAUUAACCGAUAUUAAGUCCAUAGAUCUUCCACCGUAGUAGAGCUGCUAAAGUCUUUCUGAUGUUGAUUUGUCUCGGCUGGACAUAGUGGGCAAGUUGCAUCGGGGGACUGGACCUCUCUAUAGACAUGAGAUGUUGUAGGGUAAAGGUGGGGUUGGGUACCAAUAACUGUUAGGUGAGGACCCAAUGA